UGAGUAAGACGGACAGGCGCGUGGCGGCGCCGAAAGGCCCGCCAUGAGGAAAGUCCGGGCUCCAUAGGGCAAGGAUAACGGGUAACGCCCGCCGAAGGCGACUUCAGGAAAAGUGCAACAGAAAUAAACCGCCGCAGAUCACGGACCGGCCCUUUAGCCGCCUGCGGCUGCGGUAAGGAUGGAAAGGCGAGGUAAGAGCUCACCCAUCGGCUGGAGACUGUCCGAUGCUGUAAACUCUAUCCGGAGCAACACCGUGGGAGGACAAAUUGCGGGCGCCUCAAAGCGGCCGCGAUCUAUAGACCGGCCCGGUCGUCCUCAAGGAGGUGGCUGGAGCGGCCUGGCAACAGGCCGCCUAGAUAGAUGACUGUCAAAUACAGAACCCGGCUUAUAGUCUUACUCAUUCA
This 404-nucleotide RNase P RNA is filed under the name Oscillospiraceae bacterium. Its description in RNAcentral is "RNase P RNA component class A". It matches the Rfam family "Bacterial RNase P class A". Rfam says of the family: Ribonuclease P (RNase P) is a ubiquitous endoribonuclease, found in archaea, bacteria and eukarya as well as chloroplasts and mitochondria. Its best characterised activity is the generation of mature 5'-ends of tRNAs by cleaving the 5'-leader elements of precursor-tRNAs. The record is from RNAcentral. Lineage: Bacteria; Bacillati; Bacillota; Clostridia; Eubacteriales; Oscillospiraceae.